Molecule: long non-coding RNA, 792 nt
Organism: Gasterosteus aculeatus aculeatus (three-spined stickleback)
Lineage: Eukaryota; Metazoa; Chordata; Actinopteri; Perciformes; Gasterosteidae
Source: Ensembl
CAAACACCGACGCGUCUGGCGUUUGUCUCGAUCAACACCGGUGUCGCUUCUAUCCGUUUGACACAGUCACGUGACGACCUUUUUGUUUGGUCCGCUUUUUUCCCUGACAACAGUUGGCCUCGAUGGUCCCCACCCGCCUCUCAGCUGACUUCCUAAAUAAAAAAGCCUAAGCAUGCUGCCACGGAGCUCCUUGGCGUGCAGCAACUGAGGAGGAGGAGGAAGAGGACAUGGAGUUUGGGAAGAGCCAUCAGGACGCCACGGCGAAGGAUUUGAUGGAUCUGAGCAACCUGCCCAUGGCGCUCUUCGCAUGAGGCGUCCACAAAGCAGCUUAAACAAGUGUUUAAGGAGGACGUACACAGGGUGAUAUGGAGCAAACUCACCUUCUUGGUUAAAAAUUGGCGCCGUGCGUGUGUAUGCGGCACUAACCCACAUACACACGCAUGUACACACGUAGGGUCAUAAUCACCGUGAUUGAGUUUCAAAUCCAUAUCCUAUUGGGGCGGCGCAGAGUUGAGCCGUGACACACAUCGGGGACUAAAGAUAGCCUGCCGGAGGAUGUGGAGAGCGAGAAGCGAAGGGAGCGCCGGUAUUUGUGUUCUCGUGCGCGCGCAUCACUGACCGUCCAGCAGUGGUUGGGAUACGUUUGCAUGCAGUUCAGACUGUACGGCCUAUUUUUGGUGCCCCCCCCCCCCCCCCUCCCCCUUUAGGGCGGGUGAACGUGAGGCAGCGGGUGCUUCGGGAGGCUGAAGGUCAGACAUGAUGCGGCGCGGAGCGACUGGGGGCCCUGCAAGU